RNAcentral lists this small RNA (48 nucleotides) under Euplotes harpa. RNAcentral's name for it is "partial transfer-messenger RNA". The record is from RNAcentral. Lineage: Eukaryota; Ciliophora; Spirotrichea; Euplotida; Euplotidae.
CUGAACCAAGUAUCGGGCCAGAGCAUCUAGUGUCUACACACUCGGACU